Molecule: small nuclear RNA, 191 nt
Organism: Castor canadensis (American beaver)
Lineage: Eukaryota; Metazoa; Chordata; Mammalia; Rodentia; Castoridae
Gene: U2
Rfam family: U2 spliceosomal RNA
About the family: U2 is a small nuclear RNA (snRNA) component of the spliceosome (involved in pre-mRNA splicing).
Source: Ensembl
AUCGCUUCUCGGCCUUUUGGCUAAGAUCAAGUCUAGAAUCUGUUCUUAUCAGGUUAAUAUCUGAUACGUCCUCUAUCUGAGGACAAUAUGUUAAAUGGAUUUUUGGGACUAGGGGAUGGAAUAGGAGCUUGCUCCGUCCACUCCACGCAUUGACCUGGUAUUGCAGUACCUCUAGGAACGGUGCACCAAAA